This 28-nucleotide non-coding RNA is filed under the name Homo sapiens (human). Lineage: Eukaryota; Metazoa; Chordata; Mammalia; Primates; Hominidae. The record is from RNAcentral.
UGAAUAGGCUAAGCAGCAAAUUAGAUGC